GCCAGCUGCCUCGGCUAUAAUUAGAGGGGAGCCGCGGCCUUGAUCCCUGCCGAGCCUGAUCCCUCGCGCCCCCCGCCGGCGUUCCUGGGAGGAAUGUGCGGGCGCGAGGCCGUGCGUCGCCGCCAGCGCGCUCCCUGGACGGUCACCGCGUGGUGGACCAAAUAAAGUAAAAGGUCUGGCUCCUGCUGAGCGAGGCCGAACAAGCGAUCCGGGAGCCAGCCCAGGGGUGUGGCGAGCCCUCGGCUGCCCAGAAAAGAUCAAACGCGCGUCGGCAACAGCCGUGCCUGCCUCCUGCGAGGGUCCUUGGCGCGGGCCAAGCCGUACAGGGUGGAUUUGUCUUAAGUUGGAGAUGGCGCAUGACAGGAGCGGCCCCAAAUGUCACUCCCUUUUUGGAAAUCAUGAUGCUGCCUUUUUUUUUUUUUUUUUUUUCUUUUUAAAGACUGUGGCUAUAAUAAGGCAAAUGUUCCAUGCUGGUGGAGUAAGCACUCAUGCUUAAGGGGCAACUGUAUUAGCAAAAAACACUGAUGCACGGCGCACGUUAAUACAAAUGUAUUUAGUAAGUAAAUCUCAGGCUGUGCUCCUAUGGGUACUAGCAAGCCAGAUAAAGUCUGGAACAACUGACUGCUGAAGGGGAGUUGUCUUUUUAGAGGAAAACUUAUACCUUAGAAAAAAAUUUUUUCUACUAGUGGGCCCUUGAGGUGCCACCAAUUAAUUAACUUCUAAUUUUUGUUAAUUAUUGAAUUUAAUACUCUGUAGCAGUAUCUUCCAAAAUAAUAAUAAUAAGCAUGAGCCCAUCCUUUUAACAAAAUGACUCUUCAUUACUAGCCUUGGAGCGGGGGACCUAGGAACUUCACUGUGAUCUAAGAGUUGUUUAACAUUUUCAGUCAUUGUUUAAAAGGGGAUUGCAAUAGAUGGACAGGAAUCUAAAAAAAAUAAAUAAAUCCUUGCUCCAGGGUUAAGAAUACCUAGACACAACCCUCCUAAAAGACUUCCUUCAUCAACAUAUUUUUCUUUCUAGAUAACAGGCACAAAAACCAUUAUAGAAGCUUGAGAUGGAAAUCAUACAAAACAGUCCACUCCUUAUAUAUUUUAUCGAGGAACCUGGAAGCCUUUUCGGUGGAAAUUCAAUUCCUAGGAAGUUAUUCUGACUGGAGCCUGUUUGUCUUGAUACAGCAGAACUGUACUCACAGCCUGCUCUGCUCCUUCACAAAGCUCUUUGAGGGGAAACUAUGCUGAGAGAUACAAAUUCAAGUUUUUGUGAAAACACACCUCAGAAUUGUCCAGUUCUAUCCCAGGAACUCGUUCAGGGUCUCUGGGACCAACAUUGGCUGAGUUGAGUGUCAGCCCCGUACCAGACUGCACUGAUCAUCGUUGAUCUGCAUGUUUGCUGAGGGUUUGAAGACUUCAGUGGAAUUAGGUGGACGACUUGAGUUGCAAGCAGUAAACGAAAAGAGAUGGUGUGUGCAAGAAUGAGAGCUUGGAGAGGAAGAAUCACAGGAGAAGAACCAACAUUGGUCAGAGUCAUCCAUUCAUUCACUCGCUUCACUUAUUCUUUCUCUCUAUAAAUCUAUUUCAUGGUAAAGUAUGUGGGCUCUGGAAUCAGACUGUUUAAGCUAAAAUUCCAGCUCCCACUGUUUUUAACCUUUAGGAUUUAACCCUCCAACCUCCAUUUAAUUAUCUGUGAAAUGGGUUAAGGAUAUUACUUCCCUCGUGGAGUUGUUGAGGGGACGAAUUGACAGGAGUAUAUAAGGUGCAUACUAUGAUGUCUGGCGCAUAAUAAAUGUGUCAUAAUGGUGAGUGGCAUAUUGGACUCUCAGUAAAUAGUUGUUAAAGGAAUCCAUUUAGUCUCUAAUCUUAAUGAGGAAACUGUGGUGAAAAAUAAGAACCAUAAAAAUGUGUUUAUAAGAUAACAGUGAAAACAGGGUUAGCCUACAUGAGGAGAAGUUACCCAGAAAGGUUGUACCGAGGAGGAAGCUGAGUGGGGCCAGUCACAGAGCAGGGCCCGCCAACGGGACUGGGGCGAAGAGCAAGCACGGGGAUCCUGCAGACGCUGUGGAGCCCAGUUAGGAUUCUGCGCUUCCAAUACAGAAGCCGCAGGUUCAAUCCCUGGUCUGGGAACUAAGGUCCCAUGUGCUGUGGGGUGAGGCCAAAAGAUUAAAAAAAGGCAAAAGUGGGGGCUGGCUGCACUCACUCCAGCUUGCCACCUCCUCCUGGCAGGGGAAGAGAGAGGAAGACAGCCUGACUCACCUGCAGCUCCCAGGUGGUCUUAGAAGCUGGUUAGUGGCAGUUUCAACAGCCAUACUUUUGCUGUGAGAGUCCACUCAGAACAGGUCGAAGUGGUUAAAGACAUAACUGUCUUCAUUCCAAACCUGGCUCCACCCCAACUUGGCUAUGCCCUCAGACAAGUUUCCAGAUGUCACUAAACCUCAGCCUCCUCAUCUGUAGAAUGGCAAGAAAAAUAGUACCUAUUUCCUAAGUCUCUUGUGAGGGCUAAGUGAUUUGUAAAGUUUCCUUGGGAUAGUCACAUAAUAAACAUAGUGUCCAAUUAUUCUGAAACCGGGAGCAUCAGAGGGCGGGGAGAGUGAUCCCUUCAUCCCCUCAUCCUUCGGCCAGCACCUGAGACCUCACCACUCAGGUCUUUCCCAUGGGUCCUCUAUUUCUGGAAUCCCUCUGAUUGUCCUUUAUUUUGACUAUGCUGGGUUUUCGUUGCAGAGCGCGGGGGCUACUCUCUAAUUGUGGUGUGCGGGCUUCUCGUUGUGGUGGCUUCUCUUGUUGUGGCGCGUGGGCUCUAGGUGCAUGGGCUUCAGUAGUUGCAGCUUGGAGGCUCAGUAGUUGAGGCUCACGGGCCCUAGAGCAUGCAGGCUUCAGUAGUCAUGCCACACUGGCUUAAUUGCUUCUCGGCAUGUGGAAUCUUCCCUGACCGGGGAUGGAACACAGAUUCCCUGCAUUGGCAGGUGGAUUUUUAUCCACUGGGCCACCAGGGAAGUCCCUGAUACUCCUUCUUUAAAUGGUUAUUGAAACCUUCCCAGACUCCAGAGUUUUCUAUCCAAGCCCCUACUCCAUGGACCCCUCCCCUGUCACUCUCGAUGGGAAUGUGGAUUUCCAACAUUUUGUCCAUUCUUGUGCCUACAAACUCUGCCCAUCAGGCUUCUGCUGCAAGUCGUCAGGGCCCUCCUCUGCCUGGCUUCUACUGGUCCCAUCCAUCCUUGGCCCUGAGGGAGUAAAGGAAGGAAGGCCACUGUAUUCUAGGGGCCAGAGAGAGCGUGGCUUGGAGACAUCUAUAGAUGCUUCAGUUCUGAUUCUGGUUCUCUCUAGCAACAAGGGUUAAGGCCAGUUUUAUCCUAAAUUAACUAACGUAGAAUUAUGUACACAAACAUGUGCCAUAAGCUCCAAAGUAGCAUAAAGAUGCUGACUUUUACCUAACUUGGAUCCCUCUACCUAUAGAAGAUUUACCUUAGUCAUGAAUUCAGGAACUUACUUCCCCUUUCGUUUAAUUUCUAAAAAUAUCAAGACUGAGACUAGUUUCUGGAUAACAUCACUGAUUAACUUUUCUCUGGCUGUCUAUGAAGUGUUUAUCCAAGACUUUCCCCUAAAUCUCAGGCUCAUCUUCAGGAUGCAGCCUUGUCUAGAAGCAGGUUCUCCUGGCUUUGGCGCAGUUACAGUUCACUGGGUCACAUUUCUGUCCUGCCUUGAAGAACUGCCAUGGUCAGGUGUGUGCCUUGAGGUCCAUGAUCAGAGCCAGGAAGUCAAAGGUCCCAGGAGAAAUGCAGAGUCCUUCCUGCAAGGCUGAUGGGAGCGGGGCGGGGGCUAUGGGUGAGCCUCCCUUCCCUCUGGUUCCCAUUGGAAGGCCACAAGAGGCAGAGCAGUCAGAGUUUAUAUGCCUAAGGAGGCUGACUACUUUGGGCAGAUCUGACAAGACUGGAAGUACCCGUGGUGCUACAACAUGGAAGGUACAGUGAAGGAGGCUUGUAAACUGUCUUAUUUCAGUGUGGGCUAAAAACUUCAUGUGGGAUAAUUCACAUGGGAGCUGCUGCCUGGCUGCUUUCCCUUGAGCUAUAAUAAAUGUAUUUAUAAGUCACCAUGGUGGCUGAGCUUGGCAGGCUGAAACUCAGGCAGAGUAUCUUUGUUGUUGUCUUGAGAAUUCCUUCUUCAGGAAACCCCAGUCUUGGCUUUUGAGGCCUUCCCCUGAUUGGAUGAGGCCCACCCACAUUAUGGAGAGCAACCUGCUUUACUCAUGGUCUACUGAUUUCAGUGCUAAUCAUAUCCAAAAAGUACCUUCACAGCAACAUCAGGACUGGGUGAGCCUGUGGAUGAACUGCCCUUCACUUGGCCAAAUAACUGGGUACCAUGGUCUAGUCAAGUUGACAUGUAAAUAACUUCCCGAGUUUUUUUCGCCUCCUCUGGCUGUCCCAGGUUGUGAUGCUUCUAUCGGUGAUGAUGCUUUCAAAUGCAAAGUCACAAAAACAAUCUAUUCAAACAGGAUUCAACUCUAAGGGGAACUUAUUGGCUCUUGUAACUGAAGAAUCCACAGCAGACCAGAUUGAGGUCUGACUCACUUCAGCCUAGAAAACAAAAGCAUUGGAAGCCGUCUUACAGAACAGAAAACUGAGGCAGAGAAGUCUAGAGAAUUGCUUCAAGUUACAGGGAUCUUUCGGACCCAGGAAUCGAACUCAAGUCUUCUGCAUUGCAGGUGGAUUCUUUACAGACUGAGCCACCAGGACCUUCAAGUUGCAAAAUUCCAAAGAUGCUAAUACUCAGAAUUUAAACAUCGGACACUGAAUGGGCAGAACCUUGGCCCACCCCUGAGUGCCCGGGGCAUGUUGCCAGCACCGAGAGUUCGAGUUUCUGCCCAGUAGGCUUGUAACCUGAACUUUCUGUUUCUAAAAUCCCAGUUCUUAGUAGCCAGCACACAUUUUGAGCCACAAAAUUCUGAGAAUUAUUGCACUUGUCAGCUGCUAAGUCACAUGCCCUUCAGCCUGGUCCCUUUCACUGGUAUAACCGUACUUCUGUUAGAGACUAUGAAUUUCACUGUCACAUAAAAAUUGGCAUCUCUUUUAAUACCACCCAGGGCUUGCCAUAAUCAGCCAGAAAUAUACCGUUGGGCUUGUCAUAAUUCAUCAAUUUUCAGGAUCCCUCAGGAACUCCAAAUACAAUGACUGAUAGCAAAUUAAUGGAUCCUCCCAUUUAACUUCAUUAAAGGACUGACCCCAUGAUGAAAAUUUAGUUUAAUUAGGAUAAUAUCUCAUAUUUAAAGCGCCUCAAAGCCAGGAAGACCACAGAUCUUCUCUCUUAAUUUUUAGAACAACACUAUGUGUCACUUAGAGCCAAGCUUAGUGAACAUGUGUGUUUGUUCCCAUUUCAUGGAUGAGAAGAAUUUGCUCAUGUUGACAAGUAAAAUAACAAUUACAGAGUUAGGAGCCAGG
Long non-coding RNA from Dama dama (fallow deer), 5423 nucleotides. RefSeq lists it as uncharacterized. The record is from RefSeq and is a predicted model, not a curated record. Lineage: Eukaryota; Metazoa; Chordata; Mammalia; Artiodactyla; Cervidae. The transcript is spliced from 5 exons.